UUCAUUGAGAACCAUAUCAAACUGCCCAUCACUUACUCCAUCACGAAAUAGUACAAUCGUGUCCGGCUUUACCUGAUUUAGCCUAGUAUAAGCAUUUACAAGCUCCAAACACAUGCCUCCAAAUUUGAGAAUCUUUUCUGCUCGAUGGUCUUGAGGACAAAUACGUGCAAUGUAUUGAUUUGCAGCUGGCCAAUUCAUGGUGCCAACAACAGCUGCAAUUGAAGGACUUGUUGAGUUGUAAGAGCCGGGAUGAUUAACAUCAGCACCAACAAACAUAACAUGGCCUUUACUUUGCAAGCUGUGGGGCUGCUCGAUGAGUUCCACGUUGCUGCCCCCAAGCUUCGCAUUGAUCUUUAGGGCAAGAUUUGCAAGAAACUGAUCUUUAGCCGUAUUGCAAUUUUUGGUUAAACAACAUUGAGUUAGGAUGCCAACUUUGGUCUCACUUAUCCACUUGAGAUUGUUGUAACCAGGAUCUUCCUUAGGCAUCACACAAACAAUAAUCUGCAAACAUGCUCCGCCAAUUUCAUAUGACUCGUUGUUAAGGCUUUUCAGCAGUUGAUGAAGAUCAUCAACUUCAUAUAAUAAAUUCAUCGGAAGACAUUUGUAGAAAAGAGGCUGCUCCAUGUGGAUGUCCAGUCUUUCACUGCGACAGAUCAGCUCAGGAAUUAAUUUUUCAAUACUAGGAGAGCCAAAGUCAAGUAUUCCCCAUAGCCUAAUUGGUUUGCUGGAAAUCACUGAGUUUCUUUUAAGGUUCCAAUCACAUUUAACUCUAUCAACUGUUGCCUUCGUCCAUCUUCCCUUUGAAGUGCCAAGCUUUAACCAUGGUGGCUUAAUAACCCGACCAAUAACUCUUGUCAUUUUCAAAUCCACCCCAAUCCCAAAAUUUUGAGGGAUAUCUCCACUGCAUGGUCCAUCUCUAUCGUGUACCAUGUCAUAUAUUGUGCUUUCUCUGACCUUUGGCCAAGCUAAUGAAAUCUCCCUCAACUUUUCUGAUUGUUUUUUGUCCAAAAGCUCCUUUGCAUACUUCUGCCCUCCAGCUAUCAUGCAGAACUCCAUAGGAACAUAAUUUUUCCUGUUGCUUUUUUUCCCCAAAUCUAAGCUUGGUAUGUUGCUGUGCAUAAUAUCUUUGUUGUAUUUUUCUCUAAAAUAAGAAACAAGGCUAACUUUCCUCGGAGGGGUCUGUUCACCUGGGUUUUCAAAGUCAAAAAAAAUAUCCUGUGUGUUCUCAUCAGUUAAUCCAGCAAUUUUGUACUUCUCAUUGGUAGUUCUGUGAGUCACAGUAACUUUCAAUCCCUUCAAAGCUUUCUCGACUUCCUUCAUGAACCCUCUGAAAUUGUUUGGAUUGAAGCCAGGAAUAUGCUCCUUGAGAAAAUCUAUAACAGGCAUUUGUUUGCGAAAUGGAAAAACUGAAUAGUCCAGACACAAGGCCAGACCCUGGCAGGUUGGCUUCAAGCUAUAUUUAAUCCCUCUAGAAGCUGUGAUGCCACGCCCAAGGUCAUCUUGUGGGCAAGGUCUGGUUGGAUGAAAGCUUCGACAAGCAUAAAUCAUUUGCCUUGCUGGAUUCUCCUUCAUGACCACAUCCAAAGCUUGUAGCACAUCACGAGGGAUGGACAAGGUUUUGCCACUUAUAUAAUCAUCCAACUUGCUACAUGGAAGCUCAUUCACAAGCUGAACUUCAACUCUGAAGUGACGGAUCUUCAUGCCUUCCUCAUUUGAUAAUUCCACCUUAAAUGUUCCUGUGGGUAGUGGCACUGCACUGAAAAUGUUUUUCUUACCAUCAUAUGCAGUCAUUGACAAGGGAAACUUGUCAGGGUCAUCUGAGAAUAACUUGUUGCGAAUCAUAGACAGAACAGCCUUUGGAAACUUCAUAGGCGGACCAUUUUUAGAGGGCAAAUCUGGUUUGACAUCAACAUCAUAGUGCCUAAUGAUGCUCCCAGAGUUAUAGUUAAGUAGAAAAUGAUUAACACAAAGCCCUAUACGCCGGCUAUCAUUUCUACCACCAUUAUCAGGUCGUUUAAUUGGGACAAGUUUGCCUGCAACUUCUGGAGGUGAAGAUGUUGAAAUUUUUAAUGCUUGCAUUGCUGAAACAAUUGGCUCAGAAAGUUUUUCAGGAGAAGAAUUAUGUGGCUCUAUCCGUGAAUGAACAGAAACAGCAGUGCUAGUGUGUCCCUGAAACCUGCCACCGGCAGGCCCCCAGUCCUCUCUUCCUCCUCCUGCUCCUCCACUACCUCCAUGCCCACCUCGUGCGGGCCUCACAAAACCACUACCAGGGCCACCCUGGCCAGGUCUCGAUUGCCAUUGAGUUUGAGUUCGACCAUCUUGGCCUGAAACCCAAUUCUGCUGUUGAUGAUGACGAGUCCGGUAUUGAUGAUCACCAGCACGACCACGACCACGACCACGACCGCGUCCACCAUCCUCACCGUUUCUUGCUCCUCCUGUCCCUCUUCCUCUCCCAGCAGAGUAUCUCCCCAUUGAUGAAAGUCCCAGUAAUGGAAAUGCUAUAAACUUGAAAGAAACUAAAGAAAAU
This 2527-nucleotide unclassified non-coding RNA is filed under the name Hevea brasiliensis (rubber tree). Lineage: Eukaryota; Viridiplantae; Streptophyta; Magnoliopsida; Malpighiales; Euphorbiaceae. The record is from RNAcentral.